This is a non-coding RNA of Podarcis lilfordi (Lilford's wall lizard), 129 nucleotides long. NCBI's taxonomy places the organism in Eukaryota, Metazoa, Chordata, Lepidosauria, Squamata, Lacertidae. The record is from the annotation of a GenBank genome assembly.
CUUCCAGUAGCACCUUAGAGACCAACUAAGUUUGUUAUUGGUAUGAGCUUUCGUGUGCAUGCACACUUCUUCAGACAGUAUCUGAAUAACAAUAACAAACUUAGUUGGUCUCUAAGGUGCUACUGGAAG